This 28-nucleotide small RNA is filed under the name Bombyx mori (domestic silkworm). Its description in RNAcentral is "ovarian small RNA-8117". Lineage: Eukaryota; Metazoa; Arthropoda; Insecta; Lepidoptera; Bombycidae. The record is from RNAcentral.
UGACGACGAUGACAGGGAGGAGGCGGAU